GCCAUCUUUGUGUGGGUAGGUGAAGUCCCUCAGGGACACGUCAUCAGCCCACACUAGGCAGACUGUGAGAUUCCCGCACAUGCCCAGUGAAACACCUGGACAUGCGAACGGGAAUUUCAUCUAUUCAUUCAUCCAUCAGACAGACGAAUGAGUGAAUAGAAAUAUCAGCCGAACAAACAAACACAAUGUAUCAGUGUUUGUUUGUUCGUUUAGUUUAUUACAAGGAGGGAGCUACCGG
Non-coding RNA from Pelobates cultripes (western spadefoot toad), 238 nucleotides. The record is from the annotation of a GenBank genome assembly. NCBI's taxonomy places the organism in Eukaryota, Metazoa, Chordata, Amphibia, Anura, Pelobatidae.